Molecule: transfer RNA, 73 nt
Filed under: Bos taurus (domestic cattle)
Lineage: Eukaryota; Metazoa; Chordata; Mammalia; Artiodactyla; Bovidae
Also listed under: 4 other names
Rfam family: tRNA
About the family: Transfer RNA (tRNA) molecules are approximately 80 nucleotides in length.
Source: Rfam by way of RNAcentral
UCUCUGAUGGUCCAGUGGUUAAGACUCUGCACUCCCAAGGCAGGGGGCCUGGAUUCAAUCCCUGGUCAGGGAA